CUAAAAUUUGAUUCUGGUUUAUUUUUUCAUUAAUUGAACAUUUUACAUGUAAAUUUUAGUGUGAAUUUUAUCAUAUCUAAAAGAUUAUGAUUAUUAAAUUAUUCGCAGUAAAGAAUAUUAAUUAUUAGGGUAAUCUAGAAUUAGUGAUUUAGUUUAACAUUGGCUAAAUUCGUGCCAGCUGCCGCGGUUAUACGUGGAAUGUUAGUGAAAUGUUUCGGCUUGAGAGUUAAUUUUAAUUAAAAUUAAAGUUUAAUUUAUUUUUGAAGGUGGAAUUUGAAUACUAUUAUAACUUUAUUUAUAAGUUAGUGAAGCUUUGAAAUUUUAAUGAUAAACUAGGAUUAGAUACCCUAUUAUAUAAAAAGUAAAUUUAUUUAAGAGCUAGGGUAGUAGUAGUUAAGAUCUUGAAACUUAAAGAAUUUGGCGGUGUUUUAAUCUAUUCAGAGGAAUUUGCCCUUUAACCGAUAGUACACGUUUUAAUAUACUUAAUUUUGAAUUUCAGUAUGUAUACCGCCGUCAUAAGAAUAUCUUUGGAGAGUUAAUUUUCUUGAUGUUUUGAAUAAAUUAUGUCAGGUCGAGGUGCAGCUUAUGAUUAAGUAGAGGUGAAUUACAAUAAAGUGAUUUAAACGGAUUUUGUUUUGUAAAGAUAAAUGAAGGUGGAUUUGAAAGUAAUAUUAUUUUAUUAUGAUAAUAUGACUGUAGCUCUAAAACAUGUACACAUCGCCCGUCGCUCUCGCUAUAAGGUGAGAUAAGUCGUAACAAAGUAGGUGUACUGGAAAGUGUACCUAGAUAGAU
RNAcentral lists this non-coding RNA (792 nucleotides) under Tegrolcinia mirotibialis. Its description in RNAcentral is "12S ribosomal RNA". The stretch from base 382 to 785 matches the Rfam family "Microsporidia small subunit ribosomal RNA", at positions 752 to 1303 of the family's 1311-position model. Lineage: Eukaryota; Metazoa; Arthropoda; Insecta; Orthoptera; Tettigoniidae. The record is from RNAcentral.